This 425-nucleotide ribosomal RNA is filed under the name uncultured bacterium. RNAcentral's name for it is "partial 16S ribosomal RNA". It matches the Rfam family "Bacterial small subunit ribosomal RNA", at positions 354 to 796 of the family's 1533-position model. The record is from RNAcentral.
GUGGGGAAUCUUAGACAAUGGGCGCAAGCCUGAUCUAGCCAUGCCGCGUGAUCGAUGAAGGCCUUAGGGUUGUAAAGAUCUUUCAGUGGGGAAGAUAAUGACUGUACCCACAGAAGAAGCCCCGGCUAACUCCGUGCCAGCAGCCGCGGUAAUACGGAGGGGGCUAGCGUUGUUCGGAAUUACUGGGCGUAAAGCGCACGUAGGCGGAACAGAAAGUCAGAGGUGAAAUCCCAGGGCUCAACCUUGGAACUGCCUUUGAAACUCCUGUUCUUGAGUUAGAGAGAGGUGAGUGGAAUUCCGAGUGUAGAGGUGAAAUUCGUAGAUAUUCGGAGGAACACCAGUGGCGAAGGCGGCUCACUGGCUCGAUACUGACGCUGAGGUGCGAAAGCGUGGGGAGCAAACAGGAUUAGAAACCCGAGUAGUCC